GGCUCCUCUAAGGCUUAGCUUGCGGGAUGGAACCCAGAAUCCCAUGGCAAGAGCUUCCCUUCUUAUAUAUAACAUAUGCCAUCAGAAGAAUAAGAGAUGCCUUCAGGGAAAACAAACAUAUAAAGGAUUCAGAAGAAAUAGAAAGACUAAUAAAUAAAGCAAGAACGAACCUAGAGAUUAUUCAUCGGCAGGUUACAUGAUAUUCUUCAUUGUCAUUUGACUGGUUUAUUGGUCUACUUCGACAUCCCAGCAUGUUGCAUGCUGGUGAGACACAGGCCUCUCUGAACUAUUUAGACCACAUUAUGAGUGGUUAGGUCACCAUUGGUCAACUCUAUUCUACCCAGAAGCUCGUUAUUGAGAGUCCAGAAAAAAGGGAUAAUCUGAUCAUCUAGCACCGUUAGACCAUCCGCAGCAUUCUGUAGUGCUGCACAUCAAUAGCACAGUGUGUAUGCACCCUGUCUGUGUUGGAAAAAACCAAUGUCCAGUAAAAGAUAAAGCUUUUGAAAUGCUCAGCUUUUGGCAACCAAAGCAGUAUAGAAUUUCUCUUCUCAUGGUUCAUGCUUUGUGUGUAAUGUAUUCCUAAUGCUAUUGGCUAGUAUUUAAUGUGUAAUGAGACCAUUUCUUGGUCUUAUUUGACAAUAAAAUUCCAUGAACCGAA
Pelodiscus sinensis (Chinese soft-shelled turtle) is the source of this 658-nucleotide non-coding RNA. NCBI's taxonomy places the organism in Eukaryota, Metazoa, Chordata, Testudines, Trionychidae. The record is from RefSeq and is a predicted model, not a curated record.